CCGCGGAUCCGCCACCGCCGCGGAUCUUCCUUCACCGCCGUCAUGCAGAGGCAGCGGCUUCGCCGCCCUCCUCCGGCAGUCCGGUUGUCUCCGUACAACAGUAGAUCGGUGCUCCCUUCCUCCUCAUCUCUCUCUCUUCUCUCCCCUCUUCACCGUCGCGCCACCAUCGCCGCUGUGGAUCGCCGCCGUCGCGGGUCCGCCUCAGCCGCCGUCGCGGGAGGAUCUCCCCCCUCCAGCCGCCGACGCCGAUUUCUGAGAGAUUCUAAUGUAAUUUGUUGGGGGUGGCAGAUUCAUCUUUUAAGAUAAGUUCCUAUCAUUAAUUGAGAAACUGCCAUUUUAUACUUAGAUGUGUCAUAGCAACUAUGUUCUUGAUUGGUUAUAUUACCUACUUGCAACAUAUUGAAUAUUGUAGCUAUGUUCUUCAAGACUAAGUUUGUCUACAUGUACAGUUUUAAUAUGUGGAUAACUGAGUUGUGGUACUUACUUUUGUUUAAUUGUGAAAAGGAGUUGCUGAAUUUGCUUUCUCCUCUUGCUUCAGCUUUGUUGGAAGAAUGAUUGUGGAGUAAAUGUUUAUGUGGGGUUUGUGAAGAGAACUUAGGACAUGCUGAUGGUGAUGUGUUAUAGUGAAGAAAGUAAUUUAUAUAGGAGUACAUGUACAUAAAAGAAAGUGGCGUAUAUAAGAAAGUGAAGAAAGUGAUUUGUAUAUAAGAUGCAAGUGGCCACAUGUAUCUCCUAAUAAUAUUGUUUGUCAGUAAUGAUAUCAAUUGUGUCAGAGGGUA
Salvia splendens (bonfire salvia) is the source of this 779-nucleotide long non-coding RNA. RefSeq lists it as uncharacterized. The transcript has 2 exons. The record is from RefSeq and is a predicted model, not a curated record. NCBI's taxonomy places the organism in Eukaryota, Viridiplantae, Streptophyta, Magnoliopsida, Lamiales, Lamiaceae.